UACUAGAGUAGCACUCGCAUAUCAAUAAGCGGAGGAAAAGAAACUAACAAGGAUUCCCCUAGUAACGGCGAGUGAAGCGGGAAGAGCUCAAAUUUGAAAUCUUAAAGGGUUUCCCUUUACGAAUUGUAGUUUAAAGAAGUGUUUUCUGUAGAGGUUUUGGUAAAAGUUCUUUGGAAUAGGACAUCAUAGAGGGUGAGAAUCCCGUAUUUGACCUUUACUUUCAACUUUGUGAUACACUUUCAAAGAGUCGGAUUGUUUGGGAAUGCAGUCCAAAAUGGGUGGUAAAUUUCAUCUAAAGCUAAAUAUUGGCGAGAGACCGAUAGCGAACAAGUACCGUGAGGGAAAGAUGAAAAGAACUUUGAAAAGAGAGUUAAACAGUACGUGAAAUCGUCAAAAGGGAAGCGUUUGACACCAGUGUUGUUUUUCUGAAAAUCAAUUAAAGAACUGUUUAUGCUAAGCUGUUUAGACUUUAUCAGCUAUCUGUUUAGUUUUGAGCUUUUCUUUAAUGCACUUUUCAGUUAACAAGUCAACAUCAAUUUCUUUUGCUGUAAAAAAGCUUGAGGAAGGUGGCUUGAGAUUCGUCUUAAGUGUUUAUAGCCUCUUGCCUAUGCAGUCGGAGAGAUUGAGGUCUGCAGCGUAGAUCCUUCGGGGCUAAAUGCAUUUGUGCUAAGUUAUAGCAUUUUAUAGACAACUUGUUGACUAUGAUUUGUCUUGUAGCUUACUCGCUUAUGUUAUUUUACCUACGCUUAGGAUGUUGAACUCUAUCACACACAG
This 774-nucleotide ribosomal RNA is filed under the name uncultured Neocallimastigales. RNAcentral's name for it is "partial large subunit ribosomal RNA". It matches the Rfam family "Eukaryotic large subunit ribosomal RNA", at positions 20 to 627 of the family's 3401-position model. Lineage: Eukaryota; Fungi; Neocallimastigomycota; Neocallimastigomycetes; Neocallimastigales. The record is from RNAcentral.